UUGUAUUUUUAGUAGAGAUGAGGUUUCACCACGUUGGCCAGGCUGGUCUCAAACUGCUGACCUCAAGUGAUCCACCCGGCUCGGCCUCCCAAAGUGCUGGGAUUACAGGCAUGAGCCAAUUCGCCCGGUGAUAAAUGCUUGUUUUAAGCUUCUGGGUUUUGGGGUGGUGUGUUAGGCAGCCUCACUGGGGCAGUGGCUGACGAGUACAAUCAGAUGAACCCUGAGGCCCCUGGAAGCUUCGAGUGUCUACGAGGGACCUUUCCCGGCCUUUGGUCAGGCAAGUUGGAAGACCCACUUCUCUGGACUGGAUGCUGCAUUGAAUUGAGCAAAGGAACUGAGUGCCCGGGGAGUUCAAAGGGAAGCAGCCCAGCCUUCCUUCUGGGGCAGAGCAGUGGUGGGGACCUGUUUCCAGCUGCUUGUGCCCCCACUUCACGGAGGAGGGACCAGGGAUCCUCAGAGGAGAGGGUGAUGUCCGACAGUAGGGGCCUGCCCUGAAAAUCGCCCUUGUCUGUCCAGCCUGGGCUGAAUUUCACCCACAUCAACCCACAUGGGAUGCUUUAUUUAUUUAUUUAUUUAUUUAUUUAUUUAUUUUAGAGCCAGGGUCCCACCCUGUGGCCCAGGCUGGCGUGCCGUGGUGCUAUCAUAGCUCACUGCAGCCUCAAACUCCUGGGCUCAAGUGAUCCUCCCACCUCAGCCUCCAGAGUAGCUGGGACUACAGGAACACACCACUGUGCCUGGCUUAUUUUUCUUUUUUUUUUUUGGUAGAGAUGGGGGUCUCGCUAUGUUGCCCAGGCUGGUCUCAAACUCCUGGCCUCAAGUGAUCCUCCUGCCUUGGCCUCCCAAAGUACUGGGAUUACAGGUAUACCAUUAUGCCCAGCUAACCCUGUUCCUUGAAGAAAGUGUGAACCUCAAAUUCAAAGCCCCUCUCUUUCUCUUCCCUCAUCAGAAUCGGCUCCCAGACACCUGCCACUGGUGAAUGCAUCUGAUAUACUCACUCACACUGAGGCCUUGGGGACUGAGAAUCCCCAGGACUCCCUAGGGGAGGAGGUCCCAGCCUGGCCUCCCAAGACCGUGCCUGCCCAAUUCCAGGACUUCCUCACAUGGCUCCUACCUCCAGCGCAGAAGCGGCACUAAACCAGGUGGUCUAAUCAGGGAGCACCACCGAGGUUCUGAAUGGUCCAGGGAUGAGCAGUGAUGCCUCAAGCUAAGCCAAUCAAAGCCUUCCCUGGGAUUGUCUCAAGGAGUCCGCAGUGAGAUUCUGGGUCUCAGUACUGGGAAAGGGUGAGGCUGAGGCUGCCUGCUGUCCUGGGGGCCUCACCCUGCCACCAACAGGAAGCCACACAGAGGGAAGCAGAAAUGAGAGGCAGCCAGUGAGAGCAGGGUACAAAGGCGAGAUCCCGGAGAGACAGAUGCUGGGACAUCAUCCUUGGGUACUGGUUCCAACAGUGCCUGCAGAUGGAGCCACCCUCGGAGAGUCCACAACAGCAGCCAAUCCAUUCUAUGCGUGUCUGAGCUACUUUAAGUCGGGUUUUUGACUGUUUGAAUGAGAGCCCCAUCUUGGCUAGGCACCAUGGCGCAACAACUGGGGAGGUGGAGGUAGGAAGAUUGCUUGAGGCCAAGAGUCCCAGAGCAGCCUGGGCAACCUAUCAAGACGCUGUCUUUACGAAAAGAAAAAAAACUAGCUAGGUGUGGUGGUGCGUGCCUGUGGUCCCAGCUACUGGGGAGGCUGAGGUGGGAGGAUCGCUUCAGCCCAGGAAGUGGAGGCUGCAGUGAGCUAUGAUGGCACCACUGUACUCCAGCCUGGGUGACAGAGCAAGACCCUGUCUAAAAAAAAAAAAAAAAAAAAAAAAAAGAAGUCCCACCGAAUACCUUCAUGCAGUGAAGGUCACCCCAUCUGAAAAAUAAAGCCUGGGCACUUGGGCUUGGUAUUGGUGGCCUUUGCAAGGUGUAAGAUGCGUUCCCCUCCUUGGGUCCCCCUUAAGCUUGUCCUGUACAUUUCAUUUACAAAGGACUUUCACAAGCAUGAAUGGAGGUGACCCCACCACACCCCAGGUUUCGGAUAAGGAAACCGAGGCUUCAGUAGGAAGUACUGUACCCCACGUCACGCAGGCAGUGGGGGAUGAGAAUGAACUUGAGCCCCUCAUCUGACUCCACCCCCUACUCUCACCUUCACUCCCCUGCUCUCCCUCUUCCCCUGAGGACUGACUGUUCCUGACCUCUGCACUUGGGCAUCUUCACCGUGCAGUGUGACUCAAAUGCUUCCUUCUCCCCUCUGCUGAUUCAGACCAGCUCAGUGUGUGCCACCUCCCCUAGGCGCUUUCUGUAGAAGCCCCUUCUCCUGCCCUGGUCCUGCACCUGCCUCAGGUGUUGACACCUGAGCUCCCGAUGCUUAGGGCUGGGUGGCUGCCACCCAUCUUGUUACCCAGUGUGCAGAAUUGGGUGCUGGAGGCACGAGCCUGCUCUAUACCUCUUUUUAAAAUUUUUAAAUUAUUGUUAUUAUUAUUUGAGACGGAGUUUUAUUCUUGUUGCUCAGGCUGGAGUGCAAUGGCACGAUCUCGGCUCACCGCAACCUCCGCCUCCCAGGUUCAAGCGUUUGUCCUGCCUCAGCCUCCCGAGUAACUCGGAUUACAGGCAUGCGCCACCACGCCUGGCUAAUUUUGUAUUUUUAAUAGAGACGGGGUUUCUCCAUGUUGGUCAGGCUGCUCUCCAACUCCUGACCUCAGGUGAUCUGCCCGCCUUGGCCUCCCAAAGUGCUGGGAUUACAGGCAUGAGCCACUGCGCCUGGCCAAUUAUUAUUAUUUUUUGAGACGGAGUCUCAAAUCUGUUGCCCAGGCUGGAAUGCAGUGGCACGAUCUCGGCUCACUGCAACCUCUGCCUCCUGGGUUCAAGCGAUUCUCCCUGCCUCAGCCUCCCGAGUAGCUGGGGUUACAGGAAUCCACCACCACGCCUGGCUAAUUUUUGUAUUUUUUAGUAGAGAUGGGGUUUCACCAUGUUGGCCAGGUUGGUCUUGAACUCCUGACCUCAGGUGAUUCACCCGCCUUGUCCUCCCAAAGUGCUGGAAUUACAGGCGUGAGCCACCACGCCAGGCCCCUCUUUAGAUCUGCUUUUUUUUUUUUUUUUAAACAGGAUCUUGCUCUGUUGCCCAGACUGGAGUGAAGUGGCACGACUAUAGCCCACUGCAGCCUUGAACUCCGGGCUCAAGUGAUCCUCCCGCUUCAGCCUCUCCAGUAGCUGAAACUACAGGCACACACCACCACGCCCAGCUAAUUUUUAUUUUUAUUUUGUAGAGAUGGGGUUUCACUAUGUUGCCCCGGCUGGUCUAAAAUUCCUGGCCUCAAGCGAUCCUCCUGCCUCCGCCUUCCGAAGUGCUGGGAUUAUAGGCUUGAGUCACCACCGUGCCCAGCAUACAUCUGCUUUCUGAAUAUUUGAGAGGCGGAAGGCACAAGGCGUGACAAUUGAUGGGAUUUGGGAUGUAAAGAGCAAGAGAGGACUCAAGCACAGUCGUCUCGAGGUUUCUAGCCCCGGCUGCUGUCACCAACCACUCUCAGGAAGAGAGUGCGAUGACAUGGAUCCUGCGGACAAACCGCCCCAGGGCGUACCUAGCACCGAAGCAUCAGGCGCCACUAGGUCUCCAGCUCCUUCUCGGAUGACGUCCUUCAGCACGCCCCGGUCCCCCGAGAUGUCCAGCAUCCUCUGACUUAACCGCUCGUACAGGGACUGAUGGAGAAUGAAAGCCAGGCCUCAGAGCCGCAGACCCGCCCGGCCACCCCUCAGCGUCGACGCCCCGAAGCGUCCGGGCCCUCGCCUGGCCGGGGGCGUCGUCCCCUUCCAGGACUCCCUGGUUUAAGGCGCUUCCCCCCAUGUCCUUGCUGCCCUCCCUGUGGCGUGAGCCUUCGGCCUGGUGCGCCCCGCUGCCCUCCCUGGCUGUGACUCUGGUGGGGUUCCGAAGGCCCCUUUAUGCCCGGCAGACCCCUACCGACGGCGGCAUUCCAUUCUGGGGCCACGAGGAGGCACUCAUCGUUUCGUUCCAACCGCCGCCAACGGCCCUGGCCCUCGCGAGCUCUGGAACUACAGAGGUCGCACGGUGGGGUGCCAGGUGUGGCCCGUAAUCGGAGCGCACAAAACAUGAUGGGACACGUAACGGGACCACACAGGGCACAUUGGGCACUUGCAGGGGCGUGAGGUGGCGGCACGUAAUGGGAGCGCGCUGAGCAUGAUGGGGCAUGUGCGGGAGCGCCAGGCGGGGCAUGUAACCAGAGCGUGCGGGGCAUGAUGGGGCACGGACAUGGGGGGUUAGGUGGGGCACGUAAUUGGAGCGCGCGGGGCAUGAUGGGGCAGUUGCAGGGGCGCGAGGCUGGGUACGUAACGGGAGCGCGCGGGAAAUGAUGGGGUACUUAACGAGCACGCAGAGCAUGAUGGGGCACGGGUGCGAGGUGGGGCGCACAGUGGGAGCGCGUGGGGCAUGAUGGGACACAUGGCGAGGCCGUCAGGGCACAGGGGAAGCACUUUUGGAACACGUGAGUGACAGGGCUGCCGCCCUUGAAGGAGCCGUCGGAGUGGCUGCGUGGUGGGGCACGUGGGGCAGGUUCAGGAAAAAGGAUGCAGCAUGUGAUUGCAGGGCAACCUGGUGAGGACACAAGAGCCACCUGCCACCAGCAGGGUUCAGGGCUCCCAGCUGUGGGUUACUUCCACCUUCUUUCACUUUCCCUCUUCCAUUGUGUUCUAGAGAAUUUAGGCCCAGACAAGACACUGAUUGAUUGAUUGAUUGAUUGAUUGACAGAGGCUCGCUCUGAGCCCAGGCUGGAGUUCAGUGAUGGAUCUCAGCUCACCGCAGCCGCCACCUCCUGGGCUCAAGAGAUCCUCCUGCCUCGGCCUCCCAAGUAGCUGGGAUUACAGACGUGCACCACCAGGCCCAGCUAAUUUAUUUUUUAGUUUUUAAUUUGCUGGUAAGAUGGUUUGUAGCUUUGUUGCCUAGGCUGGUCUUGAACUCCUGGCUUCAAGCGAUCCUCCAGUCUUGACCUCCCAAAGUGCUGGGAUUAUAGGCGUAGGCUACAGCCAACUUUCAAUACUGCCCCAUUGGGGGUUAAGUUUCCAACACAUGAAAUUAGGAGGAUACAUUCAAACCACAGCAGUAUAUUAUGACCAUAAUAUUCAUUAACUGUAUAACAGGCCAGGCGCGGUGGUUCACACCUGUAAUCCCAGCACUUUGGGAGGCCAAAGCCGGUGGAUCGCUCCAGGUCAGGAGUUUGAGACCAGCCUGGCCCACAUGAUGAAACCGCAUCUCUACUAAAAAUACAAAAAAUUAGCCGGUGUGGUGGCAGGCGCCUGUAACCUCAGCUACUUGGGAGGCUGAGGUAGGAGAAUCACUUGAAUCCGGGAGGUGGAGGUUGCAGUGAGCCUGAUUGCACCACUGCACUCCAGCCUGGGCAACAAGAGCAAAACUCUGUCUCAAUAAACAAACAAACAAAACCUGUAUAA
Molecule: long non-coding RNA, 5478 nt
Organism: Gorilla gorilla gorilla (western lowland gorilla)
Lineage: Eukaryota; Metazoa; Chordata; Mammalia; Primates; Hominidae
Exons: 3
Source: RefSeq, a predicted model, not a curated record